Long non-coding RNA from Falco peregrinus (peregrine falcon), 1209 nucleotides. RefSeq lists it as uncharacterized. The transcript has 3 exons. The record is from RefSeq and is a predicted model, not a curated record. Lineage: Eukaryota; Metazoa; Chordata; Aves; Falconiformes; Falconidae.
AGAAGAAGCUGCCUCUGUUUGAAGAGACUGUACAAACUGUCCCUAUUUUCCUGCCCCUCUUUGAAAAGCUCCUGAGAGUGUAGCAUGUUCUGCUGUUUAAGAGAACUGCCGUAAGGUCUUUACAACACAGACAAGAGAAAAACCAACCUGAGCACCCUUCUGCAACUCUACCAUCUCCAGUGCAGUCACACGGCCUUAUUUCAUGCCUUCUGUUAUCUAUCAUAUAUACCUAAUGCUACAGCUUUGGGAAGCACCUCUCACCUGCUGCACAGACCCUGGGAGGAGGCACUACCAUUGCACUCAAAAUACAUCUGAAGCCACAGGUCGGUUAUCUGAGGUUUGCUUCACUCCUUCAUACUCUACGAAGAACAAGAAGACGAUCAUAGCCACUGUUGCCUUUACCUUCUCUGGCCUGCUCCCUUGAAAGGGAGCAGUGAUCUAGGUGCAGAGUGAUCUAAAAACCUGCUUGAGAACGAGAUGCAGCCAACGCUUUUCUUCAGAAGUUCAGAGGAGGGCCCUUCUUGCACCUGCCAGCUCUGUACAGACAGGUACUAAAAUUCGCAUCUGAGUAUGUCAGAAAUACUGCACUCAGCUGUCUCAACUUCUGUCACAGGCGCCUGCUAAGAGACGAAUCAGCCAAUUAGUCUGGGAUGUUCAGAAGAGCUCCAUUCCCGUUCAGUUGUUCCGAUUCCUGGACCUGUGAGAAGCCUGGCUCUUGGCAGCUGAGUACUUGGAAAGCUAGCUGUGAAUUCAGAUUUGGCCUUGAAUCCGCAAAUGUGCAAUUCAGAAACCCUCAUAAGGAGCAGGCAGUCUGAUCCCAAGCAUAAGCCAAGUUCAUCACAGCUCCAAAAAAAAAAAAAGUAACACCUUCUGGGGUUUUUGCCACGCACAGCAAAGUACAGUGUUGCAGAAAUAUUUUGUAGGCAGUUUUCUGCACAAUAACCUGCAGCUCUGCAGGCACAACUACUUAACAUUGAUCCAUGCAUUUUUUUCAGCACAGCGUCAUAUUUUGUGUUGCUAUCAAGCAGUGUGAUAUGCUUUACUUUUAAUAUGCUCUGUUAUUUUCUUCUCAAACAACUUCCUUUUUCUUCCAAAUUCCCUUCAACCAGUGAUUUUGUGUUCCAUGGCAUUAUUUCUUUGUUGCAGAACGUCAUAAAUACAGAUGUAUAUGGGCCUUAAUUUUUUCCAUUAAACACCAUUACAUCUGGA